UCCUGGCUCAGGAUGAACGCUAGCGACAGGCUAACACAUGCAAGUCGAGGGCAGCAUAAAAGUAGCAAUACUUGGUGGCGACCGGCGCACGGGUGAGUAACGCGUAUGCAACCUACCUAUCAGAGGGGAAUAACCCGGCGAAAGUCGGACUAAUACCGCAUAAAACAGGGACACCGCAUGGUGAUAUUUGUUAAAGAAAUUCGCUGAUAGAUGGGCAUGCGUUCCAUUAGGUAGUUGGUGAGGUAACGGCUCACCAAGCCGACGAUGGAUAGGGGAACUGAGAGGUUGGUCCCCCACACUGGUACUGAGACACGGACCAGACUCCUACGGGAGGCAGCAGUGAGGAAUAUUGGUCAAUGGGCGAGAGCCUGAACCAGCCAAGUCCGCGUGAAGGAAGAAGGAUCUAUGGUUCGUAAACUUCUUUUGCAGGGGAAUAAAGUGCAGGACGUGUCCUGUUUUGUAUGUACCCUGAGAAUAAGGAUCGGCUAACUCCGUGCCAGCCGCCGC
RNAcentral lists this ribosomal RNA (507 nucleotides) under uncultured bacterium. Its description in RNAcentral is "bacterial SSU rRNA". It matches the Rfam family "Bacterial small subunit ribosomal RNA", at positions 17 to 518 of the family's 1533-position model. The record is from RNAcentral.